RNAcentral lists this transfer RNA (73 nucleotides) under Cellulomonas hominis. It matches the Rfam family "tRNA". Rfam says of the family: Transfer RNA (tRNA) molecules are approximately 80 nucleotides in length. Their secondary structure includes four short double-helical elements and three loops (D, anti-codon, and T loops). Lineage: Bacteria; Bacillati; Actinomycetota; Actinomycetes; Micrococcales; Cellulomonadaceae. The record is from Rfam by way of RNAcentral.
GCCCCUCUGGCCCAACCGGCAGAGGCGCCCGACUCAAACUCGGGAUCUCCCGGUUCGAAUCCGGGGAGGGGCA